UGGUGAAUAAGUAAAUAUAUUAUUCACUCCUUAGCAGCCAGUGAUUAAACUUCCACACUAGAGCCUAUUUCUCUAUACGUAGUAAUUUACUAGGAGUCUGAGGACACCAUUCAGAGGCAGAGCUUACUUUUUCAUGGUUUAUUUACCUGGAAACAGGCCACUUUACACGUGGAUGAUACUAUAUACCUGGAUCAUCAUAUUUACAAAGGAAGAUUAGCCCUGAAGUCACAUCCACUGCCAAUUCUUCUCCUUUUGCUGAGGAAGAUUGGCCUCAGCCAACAUCUGUGCCCAUCUUCCUCUACUUUAUAUGUGGGAUGCCUGCCACAGCAUGGCUUGUUAAGCAGUGUGUAGGUCCGUGCCCGGGAUCCAAACCUGUGGACCCUGGGCCGCUGAAGCAGAGCGCAUGAACUUAACAACCUCGCCACUGG
This 428-nucleotide long non-coding RNA is filed under the name Equus asinus (donkey). RNAcentral describes it as "lncRNA (ENSEASG00005032421.1)". Lineage: Eukaryota; Metazoa; Chordata; Mammalia; Perissodactyla; Equidae. The record is from RNAcentral.